GUACUCAGCCCCUUGUUCCUGUGUCCUUGCGCGGGGAAGCAGGAGGGCAGGACCCUGCUGCCAUCUAAGGGCCCUGCAGCGUCUUGGCGGAAGUGACCAAGUUAAGACAAGGCCUCAACUCCCACCUGCUCUCCUUAUAAGAGGGGAGGGGAGGGCCGAGGGAUUUAGCUCAGUGGUUCCACCGCCUGCCUCGAAUGCACAAGAUGCAGCCACCUCUGCAAAAGCCCCACCUGUGACCACAAGAGGCUCUGAGGGGCCGUCCAGACCCAGCCCUGACAGGGAGUUUCCGCCCUUUGGUCAGAGGAAUGCCAGAUAAACAGCCUGUCAGUUAAGCUUAUCAACAUAGUUACAAUGUCACAGAAAAGAGAUGCCCGAUUCCCAGGCCAGUGGAGUUUCAUCUUAUUCUGAAUAAAGGCC
RNAcentral lists this long non-coding RNA (417 nucleotides) under Heterocephalus glaber (naked mole-rat). RNAcentral's name for it is "lncRNA (ENSHGLG00000048595.1)". Lineage: Eukaryota; Metazoa; Chordata; Mammalia; Rodentia; Bathyergidae. The record is from RNAcentral.